Molecule: ribosomal RNA, 747 nt
Filed under: Prymnesium parvum
Lineage: Eukaryota; Haptophyta; Prymnesiales; Prymnesiaceae
Description: bacterial SSU rRNA
Rfam family: Bacterial small subunit ribosomal RNA
Source: RNAcentral
UACGGGGGAUGCAAGCGUUAUCCGGAAUCAUUGGGCGUAAAGCGCCUGUAGGUUGUUUAAUAAGUCCGUUGUUAAAGACUAGGGCUUAACCCUAGAAAAGCGAUGGAAACUACUAGACUUGAGUAUGGCAGGGGUAGAGGGAAUUUCUAGUGUAGCGGUGAAAUGCGUAGAUAUUAGAAAGAACACCGGUGGCGAAAGCGCUCUACUGGACCAUUACUGACACUCAGAGGCGAAAGCUAGGGUAGCAAAAGGGAUUAGAUACCCCUGUAGUCCUAGCCGUAAACGAUGGAUACUAGAUGUUGUAUAUAUUUUACAGUAUCGUAGCUAACGCGUUAAGUAUCCCGCCUGGGGAGUACGCUCGCAAGGGUGAAACUCAAAGGAAUUGACGGGGGCCCGCACAAGCGGUGGAGCAUGUGGUUUAAUUCGAUGCAACGCGAAGAACCUUACCAGGGCUUGACAUACUGCGAAUCUUUUUGAAAGGAAAGAGUGCCUUCGGGAAUGCAGAUACAGGUGGUGCAUGGCUGUCGUCAGCUCGUGUCGUGAGAUGUUGGGUUAAGUCCCGCAACGAGCGCAACCCUUAUUUUUAGUUACCAAUUUACUUGGGUUCUCUAGAAAGACUGCCGGUGACAAACCGGAGGAAGGUGAGGAUGACGUCAAGUCAGCAUGCCCCUUAUGUCCUGGGCUACACACGUGCUACAAUGGUUGGGACAAAGAGUUGCAAGUUUGCAAAAACAAGCUAAUCUCAUA